AUGGAGUGUGCCCCUGGAUAUCUGUAAAUGAUGUCUGAGUGAUGGAGUGUGCCCCUGGAUAUCUGUAAAUGAUGUCUGAGUGAAUGAGUGUGCCCCUGGAUAUCUGUAAAUGAUGUCUGAGUGAUGGAGUGUGCCCCUGGAUAUCUGUAAAUGAUGUCUGAGUGAUGGAGUGCACCUCUGGAUAUCUGUAAAUGAUGUCUGAGUGAUGGAGUGUGCCUCUGGAUAUCUGUAAAUUAGGUCUGAGUGAUGGAGUGUGCCCCUGGCUAUCUGUAAAUGAUGUCUGGGUGACGGAGUGUGCCCCUGGCUAUCUGUAAAUGAUGUCUGAGUGAAUGAGUGUGCCCCUGGAUAUCUGUAAAUGAUGUCUGAGUGAUGGAGUGUGCCCCUGAUAUCUGUAAAUUAUGUCU
Long non-coding RNA from Oncorhynchus tshawytscha (Chinook salmon), 404 nucleotides. NCBI's taxonomy places the organism in Eukaryota, Metazoa, Chordata, Actinopteri, Salmoniformes, Salmonidae. The record is from Ensembl.